RNAcentral lists this ribosomal RNA (316 nucleotides) under uncultured Alphaproteobacteria bacterium. Its description in RNAcentral is "bacterial SSU rRNA". It matches the Rfam family "Bacterial small subunit ribosomal RNA", at positions 1 to 349 of the family's 1533-position model. Lineage: Bacteria; Pseudomonadati; Pseudomonadota; Alphaproteobacteria. The record is from RNAcentral.
UAGUGAGUUUGAUCCUGGCUCAGAACGAACGCUGGCGGCAGGCCUAACACAUGCAAGUCGAGCGCCCCGCAAGGGGAGCGGCGGACGGGUGAGUAACGCGUGGGAACGUGCCCCUUUCUACGGAAUAGCCUCGGGAAACUGGGAGUAAUACCGUAUAAGCCCUACGGGGGAAAGAUUUAUCGGGAAGGGAUCGGCCCGCGUUGGAUUAGGUAGUUGGUGGGGUAAUGGCCUACCAAGCCGACGAUCCAUAGCUGGUUUGAGAGGAAUGAUCAGCCACAACUGGGACUGAGACACGGCCCAGACUCCUACGGGGAGC